GUGGAAUUCUCAGAUUUGUUAAAGACUAACUUAUGCGAAAGCAUUUGCCUAGGAUGUUUUCAUUAAUCAAGAACGAAAGU
Molecule: ribosomal RNA, 80 nt
Filed under: uncultured eukaryote
Lineage: Eukaryota
Description: partial small subunit ribosomal RNA
Rfam family: Eukaryotic small subunit ribosomal RNA
Source: RNAcentral